GAUGAAGAACGUAGCGAAAUGCGAUAAGUAGUGUGAAUUGCAGAAUUCCGUGAAUCAUCGAAUCUUUGAACGCACAUUGCGCCCGCCAGCACUCUGGCGGGCAUGCCUGUUCGAGCGUCAUUUCAACCAUCAAGCCCCCAGGGGCUUGUGCUGGGGCCCUGCGGCUGCCCGCAGGCCCUGAAAACCAGUGGCGGGCUCGCUAGUCACACCGAGCGCAGUAGCACAUCUCGCUCAGGGCGUGCGGCGGGCUCCUGCCGUGAAACCCCCCACUGUAACCCCAAAGGUUGACCUCGGAUCAGGUAGGAAUACCCGCUGAACUUAAGCAUAUCAAUAAGCGGAGGA
RNAcentral lists this unclassified non-coding RNA (342 nucleotides) under soil metagenome. RNAcentral's name for it is "partial contains 5.8S ribosomal RNA, internal transcribed spacer 2, and large subunit ribosomal RNA". The stretch from base 1 to 120 matches the Rfam family "5.8S ribosomal RNA", at positions 35 to 154 of the family's 154-position model. The record is from RNAcentral.